AAACUGAAGAGUUUGAUCCUGGCUCAGAUUGAACGCUAGCGGCAUGCCUUACACAUGCAAGUCGAACGGCAGCGGGGGAGCUUGCUCCCGCCGGCGAGUGGCAAACGGGUGAGUAAUACAUCGGAACGUGCCCAGUAGUGGGGGAUAGCCCGGCGAAAGCCGGAUUAAUACCGCAUACGACCUACGGGUGAAAGCGGGGGACCGAAAGGCCUCGCGCUAUUGGAGCGGCCGAUGGCUGAUUAGCUAGUUGGUGGGGUAAAGGCCUACCAAGGCUACGAUCAGUAGCUGGUCUGAGAGGACGACCAGCCACACUGGGACUGAGACACGGCCCAGACU
This 336-nucleotide ribosomal RNA is filed under the name Burkholderiaceae bacterium. Its description in RNAcentral is "bacterial SSU rRNA". It matches the Rfam family "Bacterial small subunit ribosomal RNA", at positions 1 to 337 of the family's 1533-position model. The record is from RNAcentral. Lineage: Bacteria; Pseudomonadati; Pseudomonadota; Betaproteobacteria; Burkholderiales; Burkholderiaceae.